Molecule: ribosomal RNA, 404 nt
Filed under: Verrucomicrobiota bacterium
Lineage: Bacteria; Pseudomonadati; Verrucomicrobiota
Description: Verrucomicrobia bacterium partial 16S ribosomal RNA
Rfam family: Bacterial small subunit ribosomal RNA
Source: RNAcentral
UGGGGAAUAUUGCACAAUGGGGGAAACCCUGAUGCAGCGACGCCGCGUGAGCGAUGAAGGCUUUCGAGUCGUAAAGCUCUGUCCUAUGGGAAGAUAAUGACGGUACCAUAGAAGAAAGCCCCGGCUAAUUACGUGCCAACAGCCGCGGUAAUACGUAAGGGGCGAGCGUUGUCCGGAAUUAUUGGGCGUAAAGAGUGCGUAGGCGGCAAAUUAAGUCAGAUGUGAAAACUAAGGGCUCAACCCAUAGAUUGCAUCUGAAACUGAUAUGCUUGAGUCAAGGAGAGGAAAGUGGAAUUCCUAGUGUAGCGAUGGAAUGCGUAGAUAUUAGGAGGAAUACCGGUGGCGAAGGCGACUUUCUGGACUUGAACUGACGCUGAGGCACGAAAGCGUGGGGAGCAAACAGG